UUUUUAGGCAUUAAAACAUUUUAUGUUCACCUACCUUUUUCAUCUUAGUACGUGAUUGAAAGUGAGAUAUUACUCGUGCAAUGAUAACUUAUCCGUAUAUGAUAAUGCUCCGUUUUAAUUUUCAUGAACGGAACGUUCUGGCGCAAUCGUUUGUCCUCUAUCGGCAUCCAUUUUUCCUACUGUCGAAAAUAAAGGGGUUUUGAUUUUUCUCGUUUCUUUAAGCACCUGAAAAAGCACCUGCAGUAAUAUUUACAUGUGCCAGAUAAUAAGAAAAUAGGAUGUGAUGACCGACUCUGAUGAUUGGGCGCUUGAAAACUGAAGUUUCGCCCUCCGUUUGUGUGGACUCACAAUAUUUAUACGUCAAAUAUACGGACUGGGGUUGUCCGUAAAUCAACGUAUGCAUCCCCCCAUUUUUAACCUCCCCUCUCUCCAUGGCAGGCCCUCUUUCGUCCCUUUGUCCCUUCCUCCCUCCCUUCCUAGUGCGUAAUCAUGAACAGCGCACCUCCAUGACUUCCGUCAAUUGAAGGUCACAAAACGCAGGAAAAAUUAGUUUUUGUGAACUAUAAUUUGAGUUCUCGUAGGGCGGGGAAGUCGUGAGUCCAAUUGGAACCUGAUUUUCCGCUCUCUGGACACACCGAAUUGGGUGCCGAUCGAUUAUAGACACCAGCGCCCCAGCGUCACAAUGUGAUAAGAACCUUUGACUUUUGCAAGUGUUUUAUGAAAUUAGCUGCAGGCGUUUUCCAUCCUGAGUGAAAUUCAACUUUCCAUUUUCAUGAGGGAAAAAUGGCAAAUAUUCGCGUUAUUAAAAUGUACAAACUUGAGCUUUAUUUGCAGCAAUGCGUGGUUGAUGGAAGCAAUAGCGAAUGCAAUUGACAUUUUGUUUUAUAAUUGUUUAUUGUUUGACAAUCGACUUGCAGAGAUCGUUUGAAUUCCGAUUGUAUAUCGAUGAAAUUUCAGAGCGGAUCUUAAAGACAGUUUGAGAUGGACUCAAGAAAAGAAUUCUCACUGUGGACUCCAUCUGAGAUCAAUUUUGAUUUAGAAUCCCUGUCAAAAAAUAAGCGACCAAAAUUUUCUGAAAAAAUUCGCCCGCUCAUUUUAAUGUACAAACUUUUUGGUCUCGUAUCAUUUUCGUACCAAAAGGACGGAUGCUCUGUGAUUCUUGUGCAGGACACUUUCAGCUUUUCGACAGUCGCGAUAAAAUCCGUCCUACUUGCAACGACGAUUUAUCUUUGGGGAGCCGAACCUAAGCAUUGGCGCAGACAGUUGGAUCUGACAAUAUUUUGGCUUCUAUUGGGCGCCUCAGCUUACACGGAGAAAUGCUUUCUAGAUGCAAUAAACACCAUCGAUAAAUUCGACUCUCUGCUGUAUCACAGUGGCUCUCCCCUGGAAGUUCCUCGCCUCAACAGUCGUCUGCUCAGCGGAAUGUGCGGCAUCCUCCUCUUUUUCACAUCCAUCAUGCACGCCCUCCUGUACUCCCACCUGAGCGACAAGUUCAUCUCCAAACGCACCCUCAUCCAGUGCCUCAACUACCCCCUCAAGACCCCCCGCUUCACCGACUACCUCAUCCCUCUCGUGGGCGUCGUGUUCUACUCGCAGCUCAUCAAGCGGUUCCUGGACCUGAACACCAAGUGGCAGGGCGUCGUCGACGCGCUCCCGGACGCCGCUGUCCCUCAGAAAGGGAUCGAAAGCGUCCGGCUCAUGCACCACGAAUUGUGCCAAGCCAACCUCAACUUCAAUUACUAUCACGGACUCCAGUUCCUUAUUUUCUUCUUGAGUAUUUUUUUGAAGCUCGUCACUGACUUGGCCUUCUUCCUAUACUUGUACAUCCCUGAUAUCGAGCUGCAGUGCGUUGUAUAUGUCGGGUAUUUUAUCAAUUUCACCCUCUUUCUGGCCGUUUCGGGAAGUUUGUUGAGAGUUGUAAGUAAAUACAACUGACCGCGCUUUUUAACUACACGGAGGAAAAAAAUGUUACCAGAUAUUAGAUUUCUGAUCAUCAGGAGCAGGAUGGUAAAAUAGAGCUGGGUCCAGGUUAUCCUCCGGAGAAAUUAAAGCCAAAAAAUCCACAAAUUGGAAUUAGAGUCACAAAAUGAACUGCAAUAAUGUUCUCCAUCUAUUAUUUUUAAUUUUUUGGUUUUGAUUUUCCUUCAGGUUAGUGUGGACCCAGCACAACUUCACAUCUUGUUACCUACAGUAUUAUCCGGGCCACAUUUUUGGUGUUUUUUCUUUUCCUGCAGGUCGAUUAUUAAACCAUUAUCGAAUGACCUUGGUCGAUAAAAAUAAAUGCCAAGAUAGGGAUAUAUCGAUCGAGUUCAUUCGAUAACUAUUUAAUAAUUGACCCGCUGGUCAUAGAUCGUCUUUUUCGGACAAGCGAAUAUACGUAAUUACAUUUCAAGGUUGCAAAAGGACUCAAAAAUGCAUUUUUCUACAAGAUAAUUACCGCGAAGUUCCUAUUAAAAGAUGACGAUAAACUCUAGACUCAUGCACGUCAGAAUUGACUGAAUGAUACGGUUUUUUUAAUGUUGCAUUUUAUUCGAUUGUAACUGAUUGCAUUUCUGUGCAGAAACAACGGGUGAGCUGUGAAGUAAAAAAAUUACAGUUGAGCAAUUUAUCUUCAAAGUGUGUCAGUCAGGUUGGUAAUAUUUUCGGUGAUUUAAAUUUUAAAUAUAUACCAAGGAAAAUUAUAUGUUCCGACAAGGGCCACAUAGAAGGACUCAAAUUUCAUAUCAACUUCCUGUGCUCUGCAAUUUACCCUUUGAGCAGGAGUAGCAAAAUAUGGUUAUCUUAAAAUAAACCCCUGCUUCUUUUCCUUGACUUUGUCGUGAAAUUGGUAUAGAAAUUAUCUGAUUUUUUCAAUGCAUCAAUACACACAAAAUAAAUUUGAGCGUUCUGCUGUAUUUUUCUAUUCAAAAUUUCAAUCGUGUGCAACGGAAAACAUUAUGCUUGACUAUGAGUUAUACUUCUAAUAAGUUGUGUUGCACAGAUCGUAUUCUACGUAAAAUUUUGAUGAGAAACAUGCAUGUUAGUCCUUAAAUUUGAACCUUGUCAGAGGUCCAUUGAUACAUCAAAAUCCUAGAAAAUUUUUAAAAUAUCCGUUUUUGAAGCCUCGACGAAUGUAAAUUGUAAAUUGUAAAUUUUUCAUCAGAGUAAUUUCUUAUUUCCAGGUAUUAUUGUAUUUAGGACAAAUCAAAACAGAUAGGUGCGAAGUUGUGGCUAAUGGGUUCGCGCAUUUUGACCGACCGUUCAUGAUUUCCGUAAGUUAUCGGCAAUCUUACAUUUAUUUAAAAAAACAUAAAUCUUGAUUUUUUUUAGUAUAUCAUAAACGAACUGUGGACAGUCAAGAGUGAACAGUAAAAGUUAAUUGCAUAGUGUACGCCUCCUCUGUUAGAAUAUUAUGCUGAUCUUCCCCCUCUCUCCGAUAGUUUGUUGUUGAGUCUUUAACAGACUUAAAGAGAACUGUAUAGGGCCAAAAAAAGUAAAUAUAUUAGAAUUCAAUUGUUUCUCCAAUUUAUUUUGUAACUUCCAAUGAGUGCGGCCAAUUUUUAAAGCACAGAAUGGGCCUGUUGCAUGCAAGAGAUACAGCCGCGCGAAUAGACUUUUAAGAGGUUAAUUGACACGAAAAUUACGAUGGUCACAUUAAAAAAGUCUGAAAUACACUCCUUACCGCGCAAUAUGCGUUGUUAGGAGCGCGCUUUUUCAAAUCUCCGCGUCUGGGGGCAGUUUUCUAAUCACCGGAAACGAGCAAACGGCGGGCUCGGUGAUUUCCGGAAGAUGCCGAGUCGUUGUUGUUGUUAUUUUUUCCUUCAGUUCGUUUACAAACCCAACGUGAAUCUCUUAUAGGGUCCAUAUACGCUUUAUGCGGUAACCAAAUCGAUCAACUUUUAAAUAUCCAACGCAGUCCCUCUACAUUUCAUUUCACGAUAUCACGAGCUCCGAUUUUUAGGUUAUGUUGUCGGUUUUAGGUGACCGGAAAUAGCCGCGAGUUGCCGUUGAUUGUUUCCGUUAGAAAACUGCCCCCAGACGCGGGAAAUUUGAAAAAGCGCGUUUGUAACAACGCAAAUUGCGCAGUAAGGAAUGUAUUUCAGACUUUUUUAAUGUGACCAUCGUAAUUUUCGUGUCAUAUAACCCCUAAAGAGUCUAUUCGCACGGCUGUAUCUCUUGCAUGCAACAGGCCCAUUGCAUGUUGCAAGCUGAGAAUGAAAUUAAAAAUGACGUUCGCUAUUCCCAAUUUUCAUUCAAGAGAUCUAUAAAAAACAGAGCAUAAUUUUUCUCUGUUUGAAGACGGACAAUUUUCUCCAUGUCAGUAAUCGUUUUCCACCAGACGCAUUUUCAAUCAAAGGGUGAGUUGCGCCGGU
Molecule: long non-coding RNA, 4352 nt
Filed under: Bemisia tabaci
Lineage: Eukaryota; Metazoa; Arthropoda; Insecta; Hemiptera; Aleyrodidae
Description: lncRNA ENSASIAIIG009830
Source: RNAcentral